Molecule: long non-coding RNA, 542 nt
Organism: Leptinotarsa decemlineata (Colorado potato beetle)
Lineage: Eukaryota; Metazoa; Arthropoda; Insecta; Coleoptera; Chrysomelidae
Source: RefSeq, a predicted model, not a curated record
UCAAUUCCAUACGUGUUAUAAUUCAUUUUCGCAAAAUGAGUUUUUUUAAACUUCAUUCAAUUUGUUACUUCUGAGUUACUAUCAGAAUAAGUUGUGGCAGAAAUAUGACUUGAAGGGUAAAAUCGGAACCUCUGACGUAGAAUAAAUCCAAAAACAAUCAUUUUUUCAUUAAUCACCAGGGCGCAAUUUUCGCGUUUUCAGGAGAAGAAAUAUGACUUGUAACUGGUAACUUGUUUGAUGACUAGUGAGGAAAUGACUGAUACAAUAUUUGGGUGUGCAGCAGGCCAAAACACAUAUUAUAUUAUCAAUGCAGCUAUGAAUGUUGUGGUGAAUGUUUCAGAAUAUCAGCCGAGAUUGUCUUUUGUAAUAUCCAAAUCGUUGAAACGUUUCUUCAGCUUCAGCUUCGGAAGGUUGGAUUUAUCCAGGAAGUUGUUGGAACAGUUGUAUUGAAACUGGCUGAGAUCCAUUCAAAACAUUAGAAAAAUUUGAAAAUCAAGCAUCCGAUUGGAACUUAAUUUUUUCAAUAAAGGCACCGCAUUCAG